AGUUGAAUCUGAACUGUCGUGUGGUCAAGAUCAAAGUAAUUUGUUAACCAAUUUAGCCUGAAUCCUGUGGAAUAUAAUUUUCAGAAUGAAGGUUGCCGUGCUCCUUCUAAUAACCGCCAUUUUCGCCAUGGGUGCGCACGGUCGAGGCCCUCUUUCAAGAUAUCUCUUUCAAAGGUUGCGACAUUUGUGCGAAUUAGAUGGCGGAAAUUCUACUACCACGUGUGGAGCUGAUACGCGGGUUGUGGACUGUGAGGACGGGGGAAUGCUUUUUGGAGAUAUGUGCAUAGAACUUAACUGCAUCGAUUCUCGUAGUUUGUGUGGUAGAGAGCCAUGUAACUCACCUGUUGCCCGUUGUCAUUGUGAGAGACCUGUUGGGAAAUAAAGUUUGAGACUUGUUCACGUUAGUAUGAAG
Folsomia candida is the source of this 412-nucleotide long non-coding RNA. RefSeq lists it as uncharacterized. The transcript has 3 exons. The record is from RefSeq and is a predicted model, not a curated record. Lineage: Eukaryota; Metazoa; Arthropoda; Collembola; Entomobryomorpha; Isotomidae.